AGUGAACGCUGGCGGUAGGCCUAACACAUGCAAGUCGAACGGCAGCACAGUAAGAGCUUGCUCUUACGGGUGGCGAGUAGCGGACGGGUGAGGAAUACAUCGGAAUCUACUUUUUCGUGGGGGAUAACGUAGGGAAACUUACGCUAAUACCGCAUACGACCUACGGGUGAAAGCAGGGGAUCUUCGGACCUUGCGCGAUUGAAUGAGCCGAUGUCGGAUUAGCUAGUUGGCGGGGUAAAGGCCCACCAAGGCGACGAUCCGUAGCUGGUCUGAGAGGAUGAUCAGCCACACUGGAACUGAGACACGGUCCAGACUCCUACGGGAGGCAGCAGUGGGGAAUAUUGGACAAUGGGCGCAAGCCUGAUCCAGCCAUACCGCGUAGGUGAAGAAGGCCUUCGGGUUGUAAAGCCCUUUUGUUGGGAAAGAAAAGCAGCAGGUUAAUACCCCGCUGUUCUGACGGUACCCAAAGAAUAAGCACCGGCUAACUUCGUG
Molecule: ribosomal RNA, 492 nt
Filed under: uncultured bacterium
Lineage: Bacteria
Description: partial 16S ribosomal RNA
Rfam family: Bacterial small subunit ribosomal RNA
Source: RNAcentral